AUUGAACGCUGGCGGCAGGCCUAACACAUGCAAGUCGAGCGCGAAAGGCCUUCGGGCUGAGUAGAGCGGCGGACGGGUGAGUAACGCGUAGGAAUCUACCUGGUAGUGGGGACGAACAUGGUGAAACCAAUGCUAAUACCGCAUACGCCCUACUGGGGGAAAGGACGGGGACCGUUCGGCCGUCGCGCUAUCAGAUGAGCCUGCGUAGGAUUAGCUUGUUGGUGAGGUAAAGGCUCACCAAGGCGACGAUCCUUAGCUGGUCUGAGAGGAUGAUCAGCCACACUGGAACUGAGACACGGUCCAGACUCCUACGGGUGGCAG
This 321-nucleotide ribosomal RNA is filed under the name uncultured Pseudomonadota bacterium. Its description in RNAcentral is "bacterial SSU rRNA". It matches the Rfam family "Bacterial small subunit ribosomal RNA", at positions 30 to 351 of the family's 1533-position model. The record is from RNAcentral. Lineage: Bacteria; Pseudomonadati; Pseudomonadota.